RNAcentral lists this small nuclear RNA (36 nucleotides) under Cervus elaphus hippelaphus. Lineage: Eukaryota; Metazoa; Chordata; Mammalia; Artiodactyla; Cervidae. The record is from RNAcentral.
AUUGCUUCUUGGCCUUUUGCUUAAGAUCAAGUGUAG